UACGUAGGGAGCGAGCGUUAAUCGGAAGUACUGGGCGUAAAGCGUGCGCAGGCGGUUAUGUAAGACAGAGGUGAAAUCCCCGGGCUCAACCUGGGAACUGCCUUUGUGACUGCAUGACUAGAGUACGGCAGAGGGGUAUGGAAUUCCGCGUGUAGCAGUGAAAUGCGUAGAUAUGCGGAGGAACACCGAUGGCGAAGGCAAUCCCCUGGGCCUGUACUGACGCUCAUGCACGAAAGCGUGGGGAGCAAACAGG
RNAcentral lists this ribosomal RNA (253 nucleotides) under uncultured bacterium. RNAcentral describes it as "partial 16S ribosomal RNA". It matches the Rfam family "Bacterial small subunit ribosomal RNA", at positions 524 to 776 of the family's 1533-position model. The record is from RNAcentral.